Ictalurus punctatus (channel catfish) is the source of this 734-nucleotide long non-coding RNA. Lineage: Eukaryota; Metazoa; Chordata; Actinopteri; Siluriformes; Ictaluridae. The record is from Ensembl.
GUUGCAUGGCGCCUGUUGCAGUGAUACGGCUGAAGUUUGUCCCAGCUCGCUUUCCAUCCCUCAGGCAGCUAGGCUUCACUCAGUGCCUCAAACAGGGAAGAAUCUCCAUCAACACCAGGGGAGUUGUGACUCACUUUGAAGUCUCUGUGUCGCAUUUACACUUAUGAUUAAACUCAAAAACACUGGAAUGUGGAGUUAGUCUGUUCAGCUGGUGUAGCUUAUUCAACAACUUUAACCUCCGAUAUUCAACAAGUAGGACUGCUCUCUCAGCAGCUCGACGCUUUAUACACAAAAGUUGCUCCAGUUUGUCCCUGUGGAGCACUUUGCAGUGAGUACCCUUCUCCUUCGGACAUCUAGGCUUCGAGCAGGCCGUGACUCUGUGGCCAUGAGGAAUCAUGGCGGAGCUGGAGGUGGAUCAGUCUAACCUGCCGCGGGUUCAGGAGGUGUGUAUAUUUCUGCGUCCUCACUGCUGGAAUGUACAAAAGGCUUGACUCAUCUCAGUGUAAUGCUGAACAGACCUGAGCUAAUCCGAGAGCAAGACUUAUGUGCGAAGGCCAGUCGCACAUAGGUGUAGAGCCCUGACUAGCCAGUAGAAAGCGAGGAAAAUCCGGGAGGCGGGUCGGACGAACCUAACAUAAAAACAUCGGGGCACGCGUAAGGAUCUUAGUGAUUUGGACAAGGGCCACAUUGUGAUGGCUAGACGACAUCUCCAAAAUGGCAGGUCUUGUGAGGUG